UAAAAUAACCUAAAAAAAAUGAGUGAUAAUUUCUGACGCGGCCCCACCCCAACCGCUAUAACUUUUGACCCAGGGGUCAGAUCAAAAUUCCAAAUAGUGCAGGGUCGCACAUAUGCUCAUAGCUACCAUGUGUGUAAGUUUCAAGGUUCUAGUGCUUUUAGUGUAGGAGGAGAUAGUGGCCAGGACGGACGGACGGCGGAGAUAACCACAAUAUCCC
Dreissena polymorpha is the source of this 217-nucleotide long non-coding RNA. RefSeq lists it as uncharacterized. Lineage: Eukaryota; Metazoa; Mollusca; Bivalvia; Myida; Dreissenidae. The record is from RefSeq and is a predicted model, not a curated record. The transcript is spliced from 2 exons.